GGUGAAUCUCAAGCUGGGAAAUCCGGAAAACAUAUAAGGAGAAGAGAGAAGUGGGGCUCCUGCAGGUCUGGAAGCGAUGAGUAAGAAGAAAAGGGGGUAAAGGAAUCGAGGCUAAUGGACACCUGUACCAUACAACCGGGGACAUAAAUUUGUUUUCCAUCCUCAUCUGGGGCUCCUUAUUUUCCAACUCCCCCAACCACCUCGAGCUCAGGGGCGUAGAAAGAAGAGGAGAUCGACCCUGCCAGGCGCUAGCCAGGGCAAGCAGUGAAGGAGUUAAGGCAGGAUUGGGGGAAGGCCGACCGGCAGAAGGGAGCAUGUGCAGUCUGCAACCGCUUCCAUACUAUGGGUGAGUGCCACUGGUACAUUGAAAUCUUCAGCCACGGCCGCAAUUGCCCUCGCGCUAUCCAGGCAUCUUCCUAAGCAGGAGAAGACAAUGCGGGUGUGAGUGGCAGAACAGAGAGGCGCAGAGCAGACACGACCCAGAGCGAGCCAGUGCGCGCCCCGGAGGGCUGCCGUGGGGGUGGGGAGGAGGCGGAGGAGGCGAGCGCUCCAGCCCGGGGAGGAGGAGGACGCACAGAGGAGCUGAGAGCUAGCUCCUGGGCAGCACCUGAAGCGGACGGCUGGCCCGGCGGGCCCCAUGCCCCCGCACCAGUGAUCUCAGUUUCUGGUCCCCGCACUGAGACACAUAGAGCCCACACACCUGCAAUGACCAAGGAACCUCUGAAUCCUGGGGCUGAUGCUUGCCCGUUCUACUGAGGAUGGCACCACACCCCAGUUUCCCACUAGGAAGAAGACUGACCCGAGACAUUCCUGGACAGUGAUCCUGAUGUCUCUUCUAUGCAGACCAUUCAAGUGUGAGAUAAGUGAGUAAGUUACAAUCCCUGUUGAGGCCUCUGUCGCCAUCUUGUCCCUAAUUCUGUCAUUUGGGCCCCCUAGUCUGAACCAGCCACAGAGAUUGGAUGUUCUGAGUUCUAGUACUGUCUGAUUCUGCCACCCAUAGACCAAUGCAUGGUGAAUGAGAGGCCCUUGUACCUUUCCCAUCUCAGAGGUGGGAAGCAGUUGAACCUGGGCCAAGAAUAUUCUAAGUCUAGAAAUGAGUGGCUUUGGGAUCUCAAAUGGAGUCAAACACCUAGACCCAGCCUCUAGCAGACCCAAAGGUGAGGAUUUCUACUUGUAGAUGAGAGCUUAAAAUCAAGUGUUAGGGCUUAGUUACCUCUUAUCCUAGGUCGUUAUGAUCAGAUUUGUCUCUGUAGGAUCUCUUGGGUGUUUUUGGUAGCUGCAGUGAUCCGUGAGUGCUGGAUAUUAGGAAAUGAUUUGUUUUACCGGGUGACUCUCAAAAGGGACCAUGUUUCUGCACGUAGUAUCUUAUAGACAUCCUGUCCCUGAGAAGAAGAGAAGGCCUGAGGCAGAGCUAACCAGCGAGAGGUCUGCGAUGGUUUUCUCAUCAGAGGAUAGGUUAUCUGGGUUGUCCUCUUAGCUGUUGCCCAGACUGUCCACAUCCAAGUUCUACCCCAGGCUCUGAUUAAAAUAUCUCAUUCCAUAAAGCAUGGUAAGGCCAUGACUUUUGUGUCUCUAAAUGGGGAGUGGAACAAGUAAAGUGGGAUAAGGAGGAAUAGAUCUAUGAUAUAACUUCAUCCUACUUCAGGGAUGACUCUAGCUUUUCAGUCCUCAGUUUUUAUUGGUGGCUCUAGGCCCCCAAAAGCCAAAUAUGCCCUUGGAGGCCCUUUGUUUAGCUGUUGGUUAUGCUAGGCCCAUG
Molecule: long non-coding RNA, 1756 nt
Filed under: Vombatus ursinus (common wombat)
Lineage: Eukaryota; Metazoa; Chordata; Mammalia; Diprotodontia; Vombatidae
Description: lncRNA (ENSVURG00010023446.1)
Source: RNAcentral